This 113-nucleotide non-coding RNA is filed under the name Priestia endophytica. Its description in RNAcentral is "Bacillus endophyticus TPP sequence". It matches the Rfam family "TPP riboswitch aptamer (THI element)". Rfam says of the family: Vitamin B(1) in its active form thiamin pyrophosphate (TPP) is an essential coenzyme that is synthesised by coupling of pyrimidine and thiazole moieties in bacteria. The previously detected thiamin-regulatory element, thi box was extended, resulting in a new, highly conserved RNA secondary structure, the THI element, which is widely distributed in eubacteria and also occurs in some archaea. Analysis of operon structures identified a large number of new candidate thiamin-regulated genes, mostly transporters, in various prokaryotic organisms. Lineage: Bacteria; Bacillati; Bacillota; Bacilli; Caryophanales; Bacillaceae. The record is from Rfam by way of RNAcentral.
UUUUACUACUAGGGGAGCCCUAAUUUUGUGGGCUGAGAGGAAAGACAAAAUCUUUCUGACUCUUCGAACCUGAUCUGGGUUAUACCAGCGGAGGGAAGUAGGAGAGAUAACGU